GUCGGGUUGUGUAGGUUGCAUAACAUUAUGCCUCCAUUCAUCCGCCUAUUUAGUUUGAUUUAUUUACUUCCUCAUCCGAUUCCUCCUCCGGUUUGAUCGAUUCAAGUCCAAUUUAGUGCUGGCGACAGAAUAUUAAACACCCUAUAGUCGAUCGGAAAUCACAUUGUCGAUGUUCUUUUAUCUUUUAUUUAAAAAAUUAUUACACAACAAAGUCUCUGCUCGCUCAGUCUCUGCUUUCUUGCCAAUGCGAUUCUGUUCAAGCCGUAUCCCGCAUAAUCAAAAACUAUUGGCAAAACGUUUUUGAUUAUGCGGGAUGCUCAAUGCAAAAACAGCCAUUUUGUUUUACAAUUUUCAAGUGAGAUGUUGUGCGUCGUCAACUCCUCCGAUAAACAAUAUUAAAAAUAUAAUUUCUAAAAGACCCAGAGUACACAUCGAUACACAAAAAUGUGUACACAAGAAGGGUUACUCUGGCCACGUAUUCUUCUUCAUGGGCUACAGCCGUCGGGGUCAGCCGUAUCAGAAACUCGUCUCCACUUCAUUCAGUCCUGAGCUACUCGUCGCCGACACUCAUUACGGGUCGCUUCAAUAUUGUCGUCGAAACAUCUUUCACGUUGGGACAUUAUUCGUGGUUGGCGAAGUGAACAUAUAUUGCCGCAGUGUUGUUCGGCAUCCUCACAAAUUUUUUGUACAA
Long non-coding RNA from Sabethes cyaneus, 691 nucleotides. RefSeq lists it as uncharacterized. Lineage: Eukaryota; Metazoa; Arthropoda; Insecta; Diptera; Culicidae. The record is from RefSeq and is a predicted model, not a curated record. The transcript is spliced from 3 exons.